Molecule: ribosomal RNA, 141 nt
Filed under: uncultured bacterium
Lineage: Bacteria
Description: partial 16S rRNA
Rfam family: Bacterial small subunit ribosomal RNA
Source: RNAcentral
UGGGGAAUUUUCCGCAAUGGGCGAAAGCCUUACGGAGCAAUGCCGCGUGGAGGUGGAAGGCCUACGGGUCGUCAACUUCUUUUCUCGGAGAAGAAACAAUGACGGUAUCUGAGGAAUAAGCAUCGGCUAACUCUGUGUCAG